Etheostoma cragini (Arkansas darter) is the source of this 128-nucleotide long non-coding RNA. RefSeq lists it as uncharacterized. Lineage: Eukaryota; Metazoa; Chordata; Actinopteri; Perciformes; Percidae. The transcript is spliced from 2 exons. The record is from RefSeq and is a predicted model, not a curated record.
UAAUUAUGGAACGGGCCGCCGGAGAAAAAUAGGGGAGGGUCAUGUCUUCUCAUUCUUUUUUGAGGGGAGGGUCAUCCAACUAUUUUUAGUCUAGGGGGGAGGUUCACCCAACUUUUGUAUUCAUGAAA